GUUGGCACGAUCAUGUGAAUUUUCUUGGCUGUUUCGAUGUACACGGUUUCACUGCAGCUAAAGGAAGGGACCUACUAGCAAUAAUUUCCACAUCUGAUUGCUAACACGGAAGACCUGAGAAGAAGCCUCAAUUGUUAAUAUGGGGUGGAAGGCGAGAUAGUGGCCAUCUUACGCUAGAUUCUAAUGGCCAUUGCUAAUACCUCCAGUUGUGGUCCUGACUACGGUGAGAACAUU
Molecule: long non-coding RNA, 234 nt
Filed under: Elaeis guineensis (African oil palm)
Lineage: Eukaryota; Viridiplantae; Streptophyta; Magnoliopsida; Arecales; Arecaceae
Description: long non-coding RNA (EGUI_LNC006525)
Source: RNAcentral